Molecule: ribosomal RNA, 373 nt
Filed under: uncultured bacterium
Lineage: Bacteria
Description: bacterial SSU rRNA
Rfam family: Bacterial small subunit ribosomal RNA
Source: RNAcentral
UACGUAGGGGGCAAGCGUUGUCCGGAUUCACUGGGUGUAAAGGGCGCGCAGGCGGGUUAGCAAGUCAGAGGUGAAAUCCUACAGCUUAACUGUAGAACUGCCUUUGAAACUGUUAAUCUUGAGUGCGGAAGAGAGAGACGGAAUUCCAGGUGUAGCGGUGAAAUGCGUAGAUAUCUGGAAGAACACCAGUUGCGAAGGCGGUCUCUUGGUCCGUUACUGACGCUCAGGCGCGAAAGCGUGGGGAGCAAACAGGAUUAGAUACCCUGGUAGUCCACGCCCUAAACGAUGAAUACUAGGUGUUGGUCUCAUUGAGAUCAGUGCCGCAGCUAACGCAUUAAGUAUUCCACCUGGGGAGUACGAUCGCAAGGUUGAA